UACGGAGGGUGCAAGCGUUAUCCGGAUUCACUGGGUUUAAAGGGUGCGUAGGAGGGCAGGUAAGUCAGUGGUGAAAUCUCCGAGCUUAACUUGGAAACUGCCGUUGAUACUAUCUGUCUUGAAUAUUGUGGAGGUGAGCGGAAUAUGUCAUGUAGCGGUGAAAUGCUUAGAUAUGACAUAGAACACCAAUUGCGAAGGCAGCUCACUACACGAAUAUUGACACUGAGGCACGAAAGCGUGGGGAUCAAACAGG
Molecule: ribosomal RNA, 253 nt
Filed under: uncultured bacterium
Lineage: Bacteria
Description: partial 16S ribosomal RNA
Rfam family: Bacterial small subunit ribosomal RNA
Source: RNAcentral